RNAcentral lists this unclassified non-coding RNA (513 nucleotides) under uncultured Glomus. RNAcentral's name for it is "SSU rRNA". It matches the Rfam family "Eukaryotic small subunit ribosomal RNA", at positions 569 to 1087 of the family's 1831-position model. The record is from RNAcentral. Lineage: Eukaryota; Fungi; Glomeromycota; Glomeromycetes; Glomerales; Glomeraceae.
AGCAGCCGCGGUAAUUCCAGCUCCAAUAGCGUAUAUUAAAGUUGCUGCAGUUAAAAAGCUCGUAGUUGAAUUUCGGGAUCAAUAUGUUGGUCGUGCCUCGGUACGUACUAGCUUAUUGGUUUCUCCCUUCUGACGAACCAUGAUGUCAUUUAUUUGGUGUUAUGGGAAAUCAGGACUGUUACUUUGAAAAAUUAGAGUGUUUAAAGCAGGCUCACGCUUGAAUACAUUAGCAUGGAAUAAUGAAAUAGGACGUUUGAUUCUAUUUUGUUGGUUUCUAGGAUCGACGUAAUGAUUAAUAGGGAUAGUUGGGGGCAUUAGUAUUCAAUUGUCAGAGGUGAAAUUCUUGGAUUUAUUGAAGACUAACUACUGCGAAAGCAUUUGCCAAGGAUGUUUUCAUUAAUCAAGAACGAAAGUUAGGGGAUCGAAGACGAUCAGAUACCGUCGUAGUCUUAACCAUAAACUAUGCCGACUAGGGAUCGGAUGAUGUUAAUUUUAAUGACUCAUUCGGCGUAC